Molecule: ribosomal RNA, 497 nt
Filed under: uncultured bacterium
Lineage: Bacteria
Description: partial 16S ribosomal RNA
Rfam family: Bacterial small subunit ribosomal RNA
Source: RNAcentral
GAUGAACGCUGGCGGCGUGCCUAAUACAUGCAAGUCGAGCGAACAGACGAGGAGCUUGCUCCUCUGACGUUAGCGGCGGACGGGUGAGUAACACGUGGAUAACCUACCUAUAAGACUGGGAUAACUUCGGGAAACCGGAGCUAAUACCGGAUAAUAUAUUGAACCGCAUGGUUCAAUAGUGAAAGACGGUUUUGCUGUCCCUUAUAGGUGGAUCCGCGCCGCAUUAGCUAGUUGGUAAGGUAACGGCUUACCAAGGCAACGAUGCGUAGCCGACCUGAGAGGGUGAUCGGCCACACUGGAACUGAGACACGGUCCAGACUCCUACGGGAGGCAGCAGUAGGGAAUCUUCGGCAAUGGGCGAAAGCCUGACGGAGCAACGCCGCGUGAGUGAUGAAGGUCUUCGGAUCGUAAAACUCUGUUAUUAGGGAAGAACAAAUGUGUAAGUAACUAUGCACGUCUUGACGGUACCUAAUCAGAAAGCAACGGCUAACUACGUG